RNAcentral lists this unclassified non-coding RNA (17 nucleotides) under Mus musculus (house mouse). RNAcentral describes it as "oocyte_clustered_small_RNA7621". Lineage: Eukaryota; Metazoa; Chordata; Mammalia; Rodentia; Muridae. The record is from RNAcentral.
ACUCAGGUCAGAAAGCA